UAUCGGAACGUACCAUUCAGUGGGGGAUAACGUAGCGAAAGUUACGCUAAUACCGCAUAUUCUGUGAGCAGGAAAGCAGGGGAUCGCAAGACCUUGCGCUGAUUGAGCGGCCGAUAUCAGAUUAGCUAGUUGGUGAGGUAAAGGCUCACCAAGGCGACGAUCUGUAGCGGGUCUGAGAGGAUGAUCCGCCACACUGGAACUGAGACACGGUCCAGACUCCUACGGGAGGCAGCAGUGGGGAAUUUUGGACAAUGGGGGCAACCCUGAUCCAGCCAUGCCGCGUGAGUGAAGAAGGCCUUCGGGUUGUAAAGCUCUUUCGGCCGGGAAAAAAUCGCAUAGGUUAAUACCCUGUGUGGAUGAUGGUACCGGAAUAAGAAGCACCGGCUAACUACGUGCCAGCAGCCGCGGUAAUACGUAGGGUGCGAGCGUUAAUCGGAAUUACUGGGCGUAAAGCGUGCGCAGGCGGUUUUGUAAGACAGGCGUGAAAUCCCCGGGCUCAACCUGGGAACUGCGCUUGUGACUGCAAGGCUAGAGUACGGCAGAGGGGGGUGGAAUUCCACGUGUAGCAGUGAAAUGCGUAGAGAUGUGGAGGAACACCAAUGGCGAAGGCAGCCCCCUGGGUCGAUACUGACGCUCAUGCACGAAAGCGUGGGUAGCAAACAGGAUUAGAUACCCUGGUAGUCCACGCCCUAAACGAUGUCAACUAGGUGUUGGGUGGGUAAAACCAUUUAGUACCGUAGCUAACGCGAGAAGUUGACCGCCUGGGGAGUACGGCCGCAAGGUUAAAACUCAAAGGAAUUGACGGGGACCUGCACAAGCGGUGGAUGAUGUGGAUUAAUUCGAUGCAACGCGAAAAACCUUACCUACCCUUGACAUGUCCAGGAGCCCGAAGAGAUUUGGGUGUGCUCGAAAGAGAACUGGAACACAGGUGCUGCAUGGCUGUCGUCAGCUCGUGUCGUGAGAUGUUGGUUAAGUCCCGCAACGAGCGCAACCCUUGUCGUUAAUUGCCAUCAUUCAGUUGGGCACUUUAACGAGACUGCCGGUGACAAACCGGAGGAAGGUGGGGAUGACGUCAAGUCCUCAUGGCCCUUAUGGGUAGGGCUUCACACGUCAUACAAUGGUCGGUACAAAGGGUUGCCAACCCGCGAGGGGGAGCUAAUCCCAUAAAGCCGAUCGUAGUCCGGAUCGUAGGCUGCAACUCGCCUGCGUGAAGUCGGAAUCGCUAGUAAUCGUGGAUCAGCAUGUCACGGUGAAUACGUUCCCGGGUCUUGUACACACCGCCCGUCACACCAUGGGAGCGGGUUCCGCCAGAAGUAGGUAGCCUAACCGCAAGGGGGGCGCUUACCACGGCGGGGUUCGUGACUGGGGUGAAGUCGUAACAAGGUA
RNAcentral lists this ribosomal RNA (1386 nucleotides) under metagenome. RNAcentral's name for it is "bacterial SSU rRNA". It matches the Rfam family "Bacterial small subunit ribosomal RNA". The record is from RNAcentral.